AGUGUCUCGAAUGCAUACCUAUAUUACGAACGACUGAAUGAUUGCGAUGUAUUUGUAUGUUUUUUUUUUUGUAUUAUUACUCACUGAUGAUCAUCAUCAUCAUCAUCAUCAUGUAUUCGUAUGGCAUCCGUUAAAACACGGCUUUUCAGCACAAGAGUCAUUCCAUAUAUGCACUGUCCUUAAGGCUAAUGAUCUAAAAACCUACUAAAAUACUACGAAUAAGCCAUUUAUACUCAUUUUCUAAGAGAUGCUGUUAAAAUCCAAGUUACCUACAAGCGUAUUUUAAAAUAAGCGGCGGAUGAGAUCUAUUCUAUCUGGGUAAGACUAGCUCGACAUUUCCGCAUCCCCGCGCGGAACGCUACGACCGUGCUGGCGUGGCGAACCUCGUUCGGCGUCUCGUUCCAGCUCGCUGUUGCCCGAAACCCGAAAGAACGUCUGGCGAGCUCCGUGCGGACCCGCGGAAGUUGCAGCAUUCCCGCCAUUGAUCCUCGCGUUUCCCUCUCGGUUACACAAUCGCGACGCUGCAGCAGGUCUCGCAAGUGCGAUGGUGCAUGGACAGAGUUGAGGAGGCGGUGCACCAUGGCGAGGUCACGUUCUGUGAUGAGUCGCUCUACUCUCGGCCACUCAAGUUCAGUAAGAAUUGCUCGCGAUAUCUGGCCAAACACCCCCGCCGACUGCCGCGGACCCUGCGGGGCCACCGCUGCAGCCUGCGCCACAGCCCGCUAACAUUGCUGAGGGUGGGACUAACACACAGGUAGGGGCUCAGCCGCGGGACCCCGCGGCGGCUAGGCGGGCACGUGACCGUGAGCGUCGGAGACUGGCCCGGGAACGGGAAACUGCAGCUGAGCGACUUAAUCGCCAGCAGCGGGACCGUGAGCGCAAGGCUGCGGCACGUGCUAGGAAGAGGGCUGAUGCCAAUGGCGCCGGCCCUUCCAAUGGUUGGCAGGUUGAUACGUCCGUCGCCGGGCCUUCCACGGCCCCGGCGCCGACCAGAUCCGCCGAGGAGGUCGCGGCAGCCAGACGUGAGCGUAACCGGCAGCGUCAGCGUCGUAGGAGGGAGCGGGAGACAGAGGCUGAGCGCAGUGAGCGGCGGAGACGUCAGCGUGAGCACAUUGCAUUGGUCCGCUCUGCGCGUGCUGGUGACGCCGCUGAUUGCCGGUGGGGCGCGCCGCCUUGACCUGGCCGGACGCUCAGCCGCGAGCUCUGUGCGGGUGCGUGCGUCCAUGGCAGAGUGAGCGGAGCACGGCCGAGCGCGCGGGCGGCGGCAGUGAUCAGUGAACGCCGCUGAUAAGCCUGGACACAAAAGGCGGUGAUGUGACAGGUGUAAUGUGCUACGAAACGGUACCAAAUCGCUCAGCUCAGUUCAGAAUUGCGAGAAUUGAAUUCAGAGAGCGGUGAAGACCCAACGCUCACGGACUGCCAGGCGUCUGGGUCUGAGAGCGCCAGUGGUACUGUGAUGCUAGGCGUCUGGGUCUGAGAGCGCCAGUGGUACUGUGAUGCCAGGCGUCUGGCUCUGAGAGCGAGCGCCAGUGGUACUGUGAUGCCAGGCGUCUGGGUCUGAGAGCGCCAGUGGUACUGUGAUGCCAGGCGUCUGGGCCUGAAAGCGCCAGUGGUACUGUGAUGCCAGGCGUCUGGGCCUGAAAGCGCCAGUGGUACUGUGAUGCCCCCACGGGGUCUGGAAGCGGUGGAUGUGAUUUAAAAAAAUGAGUUGAAUAAUUAUGUUUGUUUU
Amphibalanus amphitrite is the source of this 1729-nucleotide long non-coding RNA. RefSeq lists it as uncharacterized. The transcript is spliced from 2 exons. The record is from RefSeq and is a predicted model, not a curated record. NCBI's taxonomy places the organism in Eukaryota, Metazoa, Arthropoda, Thecostraca, Balanomorpha, Balanidae.